CCAGACUCCUACGGGAGGCAGCAGUGGGGAAUAUUGGACAAUGGGGGGAACCCUGAUCCAGCGACGCCGCGUGAGUGAAGAAGUAUUUCGGUAUGUAAAGCUCUAUCAGCAGGGAAGAAAGAAAUGACGGAACCUGACUAAGAAGCCCCGGCUAACUACGUGCCAGCAGCCGCGGUAAUACGGAGGAUGCGAGCGUUAUCCGGAUUUAUUGGGUUUAAAGGGUGCGCAGGCGGCACGGCAAGCCGGCGGUCAAAUCGCGGGGCUCAACCCCGCCCAGCCGUCGGAACUGCCGGGCUAGAGUGGGCGAGAAGUGCGCGGAAUGCGUGGUGUAGCGGUGAAAUGCAUAGAUAUCACGCAGAACCCCGAUUGCGAAGGCAGCCUUCCGGCGCCCUACUGACGCUGAGGCACGAAAGUGCGGGGAUCGAACAGGAUUAGAUACCCUAGUAAC
This 448-nucleotide ribosomal RNA is filed under the name uncultured bacterium. Its description in RNAcentral is "bacterial SSU rRNA". It matches the Rfam family "Bacterial small subunit ribosomal RNA", at positions 331 to 795 of the family's 1533-position model. The record is from RNAcentral.